UGAUUAUUUCUGCAGCCAAAAAAUCAGACUGUGGGAUCUACACUUGUGUCGUGGAAAACCCUGUUAGCAAACAGCCAUAAUACAUAUCUGCUUUCUCUUUACGGUCUUUCACAGUGGCAUUACUGCACCUUGGGAUUUUCCAUUGCUGCACUGAUUAAUCUUGUUGCUGUGUCCUCAAUCAUGAAGAUUAUUUCUUGCUUGAAGGAAGUCAAAAAAAUACUGCAGGUCGCAUGUAUUGCCCAUUGACUGACUGACUGACUUCAUGAAGCCAUAACAUAAACACA
Molecule: non-coding RNA, 284 nt
Organism: Chiloscyllium plagiosum (whitespotted bambooshark)
Lineage: Eukaryota; Metazoa; Chordata; Chondrichthyes; Orectolobiformes; Hemiscylliidae
Source: RefSeq, a predicted model, not a curated record